This 492-nucleotide ribosomal RNA is filed under the name uncultured bacterium. RNAcentral describes it as "partial 16S ribosomal RNA". It matches the Rfam family "Bacterial small subunit ribosomal RNA", at positions 29 to 507 of the family's 1533-position model. The record is from RNAcentral.
AGUGAACGCUGGCGGUAGGCCUAACACAUGCAAGUCGAACGGCAGCACAGUAAGAGCUUGCUCUUACGGGUGGCGAGUGGCGGACGGGUGAGGAAUACAUCUGAAUCUACUUUUUCGUGGGGGAUAACGUAGGGAAACUUACGCUAAUACCGCAUACGACCUACGGGUGAAAGCAGGGGAUCUUCGGACCUUGCGCGAUUGAAUGAGCCGGUGUCGGAUUAGCUAGUUGGCGGGGUAAAGGCCCACCAAGGCGACGAUCCGUAGCUGGUCUGAGAGGAUGAUCGGCCACACUGGGACUGAGACACGGAACAGACUACUACGGGAGGCAGCAGUAGGGAAUAUGAAGAAAUGGACGAAAGGCUGAAGGAGCAAUGACGCGGGAGUGAAGAAGGGUUUCGGAUAGUAAAACGCUGUUGUAAGGGAAGAAAAAGAACGGUAGUAAAUGAACGUACCUUGACGGUACCGGACGAGAAAGCAACGGCUAACUACGUG